UACGGAGGGUGCAAGCGUUAAUCGGAAUCACUGGGCGUAAAGCGCACGUAGGCUGUUUUGCAAGUCAGGCGUGAAAUCCCUUGGCUCAACCGAGGAAUUGCGUUUGAAACUGCAGGACUCGAGUACUGGAGAGGGUGGCGGAAUUCCCGGUGUAGGAGUGAAAUCCGUAGAUAUCGGGAGGAACACCAGUGGCGAAGGCGGCCACCUGGACAGAUACUGACGCUGAGGUGCGAAAGCGUGGGGAGCAAACAGG
Molecule: ribosomal RNA, 253 nt
Filed under: uncultured bacterium
Lineage: Bacteria
Description: partial 16S ribosomal RNA
Rfam family: Bacterial small subunit ribosomal RNA
Source: RNAcentral